RNAcentral lists this ribosomal RNA (729 nucleotides) under uncultured bacterium. RNAcentral's name for it is "bacterial SSU rRNA". It matches the Rfam family "Bacterial small subunit ribosomal RNA", at positions 771 to 1501 of the family's 1533-position model. The record is from RNAcentral.
AACAGGAUUAGAUACCCUGGUAGUCCACGCCGUAAACGAUGUCGACCAGCCGUUGGGUGCCUAGCGCACUUUGUGGCGAAGUUAACGCGAUAAGUCGACCGCCUGGGGAGUACGGCCGCAAGGUUAAAACUCAAAUGAAUUGACGGGGGCCCGCACAAGCGGUGGAGCAUGUGGUUUAAUUCGAUGCAACGCGAAGAACCUUACCUACUCUUGACAUCCUGCGAAUUUGGUAGAGAUACCUUAGUGCCUUCGGGAACGCAGAGACAGGUGCUGCAUGGCUGUCGUCAGCUCGUGUUGUGAAAUGUUGGGUUAAGUCCCGUAACGAGCGCAACCCUUGUCCUUAUUUGCCAGCGCGUAAUGGCGGGAACUCUAAGGAGACUGCCGGUGACAAACCGGAGGAAGGUGGGGACGACGUCAGGUCAUCAUGGCCCUUACGAGUAGGGCUACACACGUGCUACAAUGGUCGGUACAAAGGGUUGCCAACUCGCGAGAGUGAGCCAAUCCCGAAAAGCCGAUCUCAGUCCGGAUCGGAGUCUGCAACUCGACUCCGUGAAGUCGGAAUCGCUAGUAAUCGUGGAUCAGAAUGCCACGGUGAAUACGUUCCCGGGCCUUGUACACACCGCCCGUCACACCAUGGGAGUGGACUGCACCAGAAGUGGUUAGCCUAACGCAAGAGGGCGAUCACCACGGUGUGGUUCAUGACUGGGGUGAAGUCGUAACAAGGUAACC